RNAcentral lists this ribosomal RNA (506 nucleotides) under uncultured bacterium. RNAcentral's name for it is "partial 16S ribosomal RNA". It matches the Rfam family "Bacterial small subunit ribosomal RNA", at positions 30 to 523 of the family's 1533-position model. The record is from RNAcentral.
AUUGACCGCUGGCGGCAGGCCUAACACAUGCAAGUCGAACGGCAGCACAGAAGAGCUUGCUCUUUGGGUGGCGAGUGGCGGACGGGUGAGUAAUGUCUGGGAAACUGCCCGAUGGAGGGGGAUAACUACUGGAAAUGGUAGCUAAUACCGCAUAACGUCGCAAGACCAAAGUGGGGGACCUUCGGGCCUCACACCAUCGGAUGUGCCCAGAUGGGAUUAGCUAGUAGGUGGGGUAAUGGCUCACCUAGGCGACGAUCCCUAGCUGGUCUGAGAGGAUGACCAGCCACACUGGAACUGAGACACGGUCCAGACUCCUACGGGAGGCAGCAGUGGGGAAUAUUGCACAAUGGGCGCAAGCCUGAUGCAGCCAUGCCGCGUGUAUGAAGAAGGCCUUCGGGUUGUAAAGUACUUUCAGCGGGGAGGAAGGCGGUGAGGUUAAUAACCUUGCCGAUUGACGUUACCCGCAGAAGAAGCACCGGUUAACUCCGUGCCAGCAGCCGCAGUAA